AAAACCACCCCGUUUCAGCCCUCAGCCUCAGGGCUGAGAUUCAGGCUCAGGUCUAGGGGUUGGGGAAUAUUAAAGUUUACAAGUACAAUCUUACUCCAUCCAUACACACACGGAGAAGCCGGGAGAGGACGCGGCCAGAGAUGGGCUCCUGCCCUUGAACCCCUGCUGGGGUGGAAGCGGGUGCACAAUGCUUCUUUGAGUAUCUCCGUGUCUGUGGCUGAUAUCCAGAUGCAAGGCUUCUUCUGGGCAUCCCUGGGAAUGGGAGUGCAUAGACAUACUGGUCAAAUUACAGCACAGCCUCUACACCUUUACUGAAGAUGGAAAACUGUUCUCCAAAGUUGACUUGCCUAACAUGAUGUAACUAUCAUGCAAAAAUAAAAAUAAAAUUAAGAAUAAAAAUUUAAAAAUGAAA
Molecule: long non-coding RNA, 412 nt
Organism: Pan troglodytes (chimpanzee)
Lineage: Eukaryota; Metazoa; Chordata; Mammalia; Primates; Hominidae
Exons: 2
Source: RefSeq, a predicted model, not a curated record